AGGGGCAGACACUUAACCUGUGUCUAAAGCACUGCUGGCCGCCGAUUCUACGCCGCCCGGUCGCCAGGGAGAGUGAAUACAGCUAGGGACGUGAAAGGCAGGUCUGGGCUGGGCAUUGAGGAGGGUAUUAAGCUAGGAAGUAUGCCUUACCUUUAUCUAAAUCGGGCGGGUCGUCCUCCCCUCAUUGGCCUUGUGCAGCUCGGAUUCCUCUCUCACCCGCACCCAGGGGUCUUCCCAGAGCAUUGCGUCGUCUCCAGCCCAGGGAGCCGCCUUCUUUCCUAAACUGCUAUAGACACUGUCCUGAUGUCUAAGACAAUGUACUUUGUGCCGCAGGCCUCUGCCUUCCCUAGCCAGAGCGCGAGCUCAGCCGCUUUUGAGAGAAAUCUGCCACCUGGCCUACCUGUGCACAACUUCAGAGCUUUGCAGGGGGUGACAAGGGCUGUGGCUUCAGGGAAAUGUCACGCGCACUGGCACCUUUUUCGCGAAUGUGAAAAUUGAGAAAUCAAGAAGGUUAAUUAUAGGGUUGCCCAGGAUCUGCCAAGAGCAAAGAAGAAAACCCCAUUUCCCAGGCAUGUGUCUUGUGAGCCAUUUUUUAUCAACCCACUUAAGUGGACAAGCUCCAAAACACAACAUGAAGCUGAUGAUAAUUUAGGCAAUUUACGUUUGAAAUCAUCGGCCUCAUCUCAAGGCAGUGUCUUAGAGACACAGGUGGGACCUGAUCCCUCAGGAACAGAUAGCGUUCCAGCUUUGUGGGAUUGACUUUUGAGAUAUGGAGCACUUCGGGGUCAAUUGAAACCCGUCAGGUUUCACAUCUCUGCUUUGGAUAGAAAGCCCAUCACCCACAGCUGUCAGAGAUGUUCCUUGACUCACUGGGGCUCAUCUGUUGAAUUUUUCUAUCUAGAUAAUGGAAACAUCUAGGAGCACUUCUGCUUCCAUGUAAACUCUUAAUAAUUGAUGUCCCUAAAAUUCUGUGUUCUCAGGGACAGUUCCUUUGGUUCCCAGAUGGUACCAGCUUUCAUGUUGUUACAUCUAAUAUGUAAAAACCUGGAUGUUAACCUCCAAGACAUUGUUCACGUCACACAUUCCAGUAUUUUUCAUUUGUGAUUUCUGAAUGUAGGACAAUAUCAAAGAACUGAAAACCUGGUCAUAAAAAUUGGACCCUAUUACUGCACUUAGUGAAUAAUUUACCCCUUAGGGUUAAUUACACCUGAGUUCAUCAGCACCUGUGUAAAGAAAGAAAAAAAAAUUGUGGCAUCUGCCAGGCGCAGUGGCUCAAGCCUGUAAUCCCAGCACUUUGGGAGGCCGAGGCAGGUAGAUUACCUGAGGUCAGGAGUUCAAGACCAGCCUAGUCAACAUGGCGAAACCCCAUCUCUACUAAAAAUACAAAAAUUUGCCGGUCGUGGUGGUAGGCGCUAUAAUCCCAACUACUCGGGAGGCUGAGACAGGAGAAUCGCUUGAACCCGGGGGGCGGAGGUUGCAGUGAGUCUAGGUCAAGCCACUUCAUUCCAGCCUGGGCGAAAGGGCGAAACUCCAUCUCAAAAAACAAAACAAAACAAAACCACGUGGCACCUAUGCAUGUGGCAAGAUGAGGAAGUAUAGGGAGACCACAGCACAUUUCUAGGGCUCUUCUUUUGUUUUAAAUAGUGCCUGUGGGGAAAGUCUAUGUGAUCCAGAGCACACAUCCCUUCCCUAGCCCUCUGUUUUCAUCCUCCUCCUUCCUGUGCCCUCUUUAGGUGAGGGUGUCUGAUUACCCUCGCCCACAAGUGUUGUAUGGGGAUGUUGUAACAUAACCAUAUCCAUCUUCUCAAAAUGAGGAUUAAUAGAGAGGAGUGUCUUGGGACUUGUGUUCAGAUGCACUGCUGUUUGGUGUGUGGCUGCUCUCAGCAGUCCCACGGCAGCUGUCUGAAAAGAUUGGUACAGAUGUAGCCACAGCUGGUGUUCACAGGGCUGGGUGCUUCUUGUGGUUUGGUGUCUUUUGUUUAGAUUUUGUGGCUCUGACCCUCUUCUGCUUAUCCAUUCCUGGUAGUAUCUGCGAGGUUGCCUCGUUUGUUCCACUUGUUUCCUGGAAGCUUGUUGUGUAAUUUUAUUUCCCAGGAUCUUUGGGAUUCUAUUCUCACUAGACCAGUCACUGUCCACUGGCCCUGUACUUAUCUUGCGGGAGCCCCCAUGUUCAUCCUUUCCAGUGGAGCUAGGAAGAAUUCUAGUUACUUCUAAAUCUUCUAAUUCUGAUGCUGUUGGGCCAUUUAUUAAGCUGGGAAUUUUGUCUUUGGGCUCAUGGACAUUAUUCCAAAGGUUGUCUUGUCUUUGGGCUCAUGAACAUUAUUCCAAAGGUUGCAGUGAGCCGAGAUCACACCAUUGCACUCCAGCCUGGGGUACAAGAGCGAGACUUCAUCUCAAAAAAAAUAAAUAAAUAAAUAAAUAAAAAAUAAAAUUAUGAUUUCAGUUUCUUCCUAGUGUAGGGCAAUUCAAAAAUAUCAGUUUUUUAAUUGGGUAAUUAUAAUAAUUUAUGUUUUGAGUGAUUAAAUCAUUUCAUCUAAGCUGUUAAA
Long non-coding RNA from Homo sapiens (human), 2546 nucleotides. Ensembl annotates it as long intergenic non-protein coding RNA 663. NCBI's taxonomy places the organism in Eukaryota, Metazoa, Chordata, Mammalia, Primates, Hominidae. The record is from Ensembl.